RNAcentral lists this ribosomal RNA (253 nucleotides) under uncultured bacterium. RNAcentral describes it as "partial 16S ribosomal RNA". It matches the Rfam family "Bacterial small subunit ribosomal RNA", at positions 524 to 776 of the family's 1533-position model. The record is from RNAcentral.
UACGUAGGGGGCAAGCGUUGUUCGGAUUCAUUGGGCGUAAAGGGCGCGUAGGCGGCUACGCACGUCCGUUGUGAAAUCGCUCGGCUCAACUGGGCGGGGUCAGCGGAUACGGCGUAGCUGGAGCAAGCUAGGGGGCAAUGGAAUUCCCGGUGUAGUGGUGGAAUGCGUAGAUAUCGGGAGGAACACCAGUGGCGAAGGCGGUUGCCUGGAGCUUUGCUGACGCUGAUGCGCGAAAGCGUGGGGAGCGAUCCGG